RNAcentral lists this long non-coding RNA (208 nucleotides) under Nicotiana benthamiana. RNAcentral's name for it is "long non-coding RNA (NBEN_LNC020686)". Lineage: Eukaryota; Viridiplantae; Streptophyta; Magnoliopsida; Solanales; Solanaceae. The record is from RNAcentral.
UCGAUUGUCUGCCAGUCAGAUCAAAAUUCAAUCCCAGAUUUUACGCUUGAUAAUCGAUUACUUACAAUCCAUAAUCGAUUACUGGCAACGUUCAAAAAAUCCUUUUCAGAUUUUGCCACAAACAAUCGAUUAUCCAGAAUCAACAAUCGAUUACUUAGCAACGUUCAAAAAAUCUUUUCCGAAUUUUAAUCAAAACAAUCGAUUAUAC